AGGAAGAGGACAAUGGUUUUCAGACCCAGCAUUGAUGGCAACACCUGCCUUCCAGGUGGGAGGCAGGAUUCCUCUCAGAGACAAGAUGCUGAAGAAGAUGCUGAGAGACGCCCUGGGGGACCUUCUCAGAAGAGAAAAGCAAGCCCCACUGGACCCUCCAGAAAGGCAGGAAUGAGGGGAAGGCAACGGCUCUGCAUUGGCUGGCCCUGAUUACAGAAAAAAAAAUUGCUCUGCUUCAGAGUGGGUCAAGAGACCCACUGAUUAAAAGCCUCAAAUGUAUGAAUACAUAUGGGCACCAAGAAGGGAACAGACACGGGGCCUGUUGAGGGUAGAGAAUGGAAGGAAAGUAAGGAAUUAAAACCACUGUGCUUAUUACCUGGGUGGCAAAAUAAUCUGCACACCAAACCCCUGUGACAUGCAACUUACCUG
This 429-nucleotide long non-coding RNA is filed under the name Rhinopithecus bieti (black snub-nosed monkey). RNAcentral describes it as "lncRNA (ENSRBIG00000046488.1)". The record is from RNAcentral. Lineage: Eukaryota; Metazoa; Chordata; Mammalia; Primates; Cercopithecidae.